GGGGCUGUAGCUCAGUUGGGAGAGCGGCGGCUUUGCAAGCCGCAGGUCGUCGGUUCGAUCCCGAUCAGCUCCACCA
RNAcentral lists this transfer RNA (76 nucleotides) under Acidobacteriota bacterium. Its description in RNAcentral is "Acidobacteria bacterium tRNA-Ala". It matches the Rfam family "tRNA". Rfam says of the family: Transfer RNA (tRNA) molecules are approximately 80 nucleotides in length. Their secondary structure includes four short double-helical elements and three loops (D, anti-codon, and T loops). The record is from RNAcentral. RNAcentral also lists the same sequence under 1 other name. Lineage: Bacteria; Pseudomonadati; Acidobacteriota.